CCGGAGGAAGGUGGGGAUGACGUCAAGUCCUCAUGGCCCUUAUAGGUGGGGCUACACACGUCAUACAAUGGCUGGUACAAAGGGUUGCCAACCCGCGAGGGGGAGCCAAUCCCAUAAAGCCAGUCGUAGUCCGGAUCGCAGUCUGCAACUCGACUGCGUGAAGUCGGAAUCGCUAGUAAUCGUGGAUCAGCAUGUCACGGUGAAUACGUUCCCGGGUCUU
RNAcentral lists this ribosomal RNA (220 nucleotides) under uncultured Comamonas sp. RNAcentral describes it as "partial 16S ribosomal RNA". It matches the Rfam family "Bacterial small subunit ribosomal RNA", at positions 1163 to 1382 of the family's 1533-position model. The record is from RNAcentral. Lineage: Bacteria; Pseudomonadati; Pseudomonadota; Betaproteobacteria; Burkholderiales; Comamonadaceae.